This 460-nucleotide ribosomal RNA is filed under the name uncultured bacterium. Its description in RNAcentral is "partial 16S ribosomal RNA". It matches the Rfam family "Bacterial small subunit ribosomal RNA", at positions 338 to 795 of the family's 1533-position model. The record is from RNAcentral.
CCUACGGGAGGCAGCAGUGAGGAAUAUUGGUCAAUGGACGCAAGUCUGAACCAGCCAUGCCGCGUGCAGGAAGACGGCGCUAUGAGGUGUAAACUGCUUUUGUACGAGGGUAAACGCAGAUACGCGUAUCUGUCUGAAUGUACCUUACGAAUAAGGAUCGGCUAACUCCGUGCCAGCAGCCGCGGUAAUACGGAGGGUUCAAGCGUUAUCCGGAUUUAUUGGGUUUAAAGGGUGCGUAGGCGGUCGGAUAAGUUAGAGGUGAAAUCCCGGGGCUCAACUUCGGAAUUGCCUCUGAUACUGUUCGGCUAGAGGGUAGUUGCGGUAGGCGGAAUGUCUGGUGUAGCGGUGAAAUGCUUAGAGAUCAUGCAGAACACCGAUUGCGAAGGCAGCUUACCACGCUACUUCUGACGUUGAGGCACGAAAGCGUGGGGAGCAAACAGGAUUAGAUACCCGUGUAGUC